AUGGGUGCCGGUGCUUGAGAUUUAUUCGCUGAGGUGUUGCCUGUGCUCAUCGCUGCAGGGCUUCGUGUACCCGCCUCCUCGGCCUGGACAACGUCAAGGAAUCGAUGCGCAGGUAUUCCUCUCUAGCUCCUCUCUCUCUCUCUCUCUCUCUCUCUCUCUCUCUCUCUCUCUCUCUCUCUCUCUCUUCUCUCUCUCUCUCUCUCAGCUGUGCUAGGAUCUAGAUCCUCUCUCUGAUGUACAGCAGCGUCGCCCGAGCAGUAGCAGCAAAGCGACCUUGCAAAUCAAUCCAGCAGCCUGCAUGUGCGAGGUAUUCUUUGCCCCAUGCCCAGUUCGAAUCCUGCUCCUUACUUGCUCAAUGCUCAUUUUUUAUUCAUGGGUUGGUCACCUGCCAAAAAUUUGCUUCUGAGUAUUUAUGUGUUGCGUGCUUUCUUCAUAUGUGCGAAGUGAAAUUCGGUCCAAAUGCGCGAGGAGUUCAGGUGGAGCUGUUGGGUAGUCUGUAUCGAGCCAACACAGUGCAUCAAGGAACAGCACAAAGAGCCACCGACAUUGAGGCCAGCCAGCAACAACGUGUAUGGUUGGUCCUCUUGGUGAUUCAAAGAUAGUGUGUAGAAAAGAUUUAGUAUAAUUGGUUAUCCAAAAGAAGCCUUGAGCAGUAACAGAUGCUACUGUAAGAAGAUGUCUGCUAAGUGUGCUUAAGUUCAACACACUGGGGUUUACUUAUCAAUUUUGUAAGGAAAUUCAUGAAUCCUGGGUGUUUUCUACAUAGGCUCUGAAAUACUUUGGUUAUAAUGUUAUUCCAAAUGAAUUUAUAUGCAUAGAGAUAGGACAAAGGUGUGCAAGGAGAUGUUGUAAAAUCUCUCCUUUUUAGCGGCCAUUACAAUCCAUGUUGUCGUCAGGUUACUUAGUAGCUGAGAAGCAGUUUUGUGAAAUUGGGAAUUAUUACUCAUGAUAUUACUAUCUUAACAUUUACACAUUAUCUGGUGUAUUUCUAUUUCAUGAUCAAUUUGCAGCUUCAUAAUCAUCUGUUCCUAUCAUGAUCACCAACGUUUUUCGUGGUUCUAUAGCUUCAGAAUGAUACCAUGAAUGAUUUUAUGAGUACUGAGGUGGACAUAGGUCGACACAGAACACAUACAUCAGCUAUUGCGGUACAAAAUAGGAGCGUGCUCCAUGGUUUUCCGGGAGUUCAGGUGGCGCUCCAGGCCCCCUCCUGUUCCUACCUCUCUCUGGUGGAAUCCCAGCGUGCUCUAGCAAGGUGGUCCGCCGCGCUUCGACAAGCGGCAGCAAAUUCCGCCUCCUCUGCAUAUAGCAGGUGGCAGUAGCAUCGGAGGACUCCUCAAAAGCUGGCCUUGCCUUUCCUAUGAUGGAUAUAAUGGUUUUCUACCACACACCCAACGCGAGUUAGCCCGUGUGCUACAUGGUCGACAUCCAAGAAAACCUGUACAAGAAGGACUUCGACGGCGAAGAGAAGCAGGAGCAUGUCCUCAAGUGGCAGCAUAAAAGCUGUUGGAUCGUGGCAUACUCUUGCAGCUAACUUCGUGCACAGUCUGCUCCAUGCUACAGGUCACCGACCUCAAGAACUCAGGAGGCACCGCACUGUCACCCACCAGGCGGUGGCGCUGCUCCAGGAGUAUAACUACCCCAAGCUCAUCGCCAAGAAGGCAACGCCUAUAUCUGUUAUUGACAUGGCUUAUUUGGAAUUUUGCAGCUGCAUUAGUUGUGAUUCAACAUUGUGAUAGUGUAGGUUGAAAUUCAGUUGUAACUGAUUGUUCCUUAAAUCAGUUUCUGUAUCUCCACUGUUCAAUGUCAGGAGUGAACGAGUGGGGCCAGCAUGGUGUCAAAUUGAGUCCUGGUUUGAGUUGAUUUCUCUCUUUGGCAUGGGCGGUGGUAAUUAUAGUGCAAUCAGGAAUAUUUCCAUUUUGUUGGCUAACCCCCAUUUCUGAUAUGACCAGGAAUAUUAGUUUACUUAUCAAUUUCAGCUAUUGCAGCAUGACAGUUUGCUCUAUGUAUGAGCGUUAUGCUAUACCAUAACGUACCGGCGUUAUCUUCAACAGUACCAGUAUUUUCUUUGACGACUGAAGAUACAGAUGGAGCUUCACUGCUUCAGUAGUUGUGUCUAAUGGACAUGGUGCAUGGACAUCUCAAGCGUAGCCUCUCCCCAUGAGAUCAAUGCCGCCAGUAUUGGCGCCCUCACUGGAACAUGUGCAAGUGGAGACUUCUACAAGAGGAUCAGGUGGCAGGGCAAACAACAAGGAGAGGCAGUCAUGCAAACAUCGCCAACACCACCAGUUGUUAACAUGUGAGCUAGGUUCACGUCUUGGCAUGCUAUCUCUAUGUAACUGGAUAC
RNA transcript from Lolium rigidum, 2344 nucleotides. RefSeq lists it as uncharacterized. The transcript is spliced from 3 exons. The record is from RefSeq and is a predicted model, not a curated record. Lineage: Eukaryota; Viridiplantae; Streptophyta; Magnoliopsida; Poales; Poaceae.